This 467-nucleotide ribosomal RNA is filed under the name uncultured bacterium. Its description in RNAcentral is "partial 16S ribosomal RNA". It matches the Rfam family "Bacterial small subunit ribosomal RNA", at positions 28 to 507 of the family's 1533-position model. The record is from RNAcentral.
GAUGAACGCUGACAGAAUGCUUAACACAUGCAAGUCCACUUGAAUUUGGGUUUUUAACUUAGGUUUGGGUGGCGGACGGGUGAGUAACGCGUAAAGAACUUGCCUCACAGCUAGGGACAACAUUUGGAAACGAAUGCUAAUACCUAAUAUUAUGAUAAUAGGGCAUCCUAUAAUUAUGAAAGCUAUAAGCGCUGUGAGAGAGCUUUGCGUCCCAUUAGCUAGUUGGAGAGGUAACGGCUCACCAAGGCGAUGAUGGGUAGCCGGCCUGAGAGGGUGAUCGGCCACAAGGGGACUGAGACACGGCCCUUACUCCUACGGGAGGCAGCAGUGGGGAAUAUUGGACAAUGGACCAAGAGUCUGAUCCAGCAAUUCUGUGUGCACGAUGAAGUUUUUCGGAAUGUAAAGUGCUUUCAGUUGGGAAGAAAGAAAUGACGGUACCAACAGAAGAAGUGACGGCUAAAUACGUG